This 1529-nucleotide long non-coding RNA is filed under the name Ursus americanus (American black bear). Its description in RNAcentral is "lncRNA (ENSUAMG00000012031.1)". The record is from RNAcentral. Lineage: Eukaryota; Metazoa; Chordata; Mammalia; Carnivora; Ursidae.
CACGUGCACAGUUCUGGGCAGUGAGGGGAGACGGGAAGAGCCGCUGGCUACACCCUGGAGCGUUUUCUUACAGGAGAACAGUCUCUACACACGUGCCUGCCCCAGACAUAGCUCCGUCCCUGCCUCAGACCCACACGGGUCCCGUCAGACCAGCCCCAUGUCUGCCUCAGACCCAUGCGGGACCCCUGUCCCUGUCUCAGACCCACAUGGGACCCACAUCUCUGCCUCAAACCCACAUGGGUCCCCCAUCAGACCAGCCCCAUCCCUGCCUCAGACCCACGUGGGUCCCCUGUCAGACCAGCCCCAUGUCUGCCUCAGACCCACGCGGGACCCCCGUCCCUGCCUCAGACCCACACGGUCCCCUGUCAGACCAGCCCUGUCCCUGCCUCAGACCCACACGGUCCCCUGUCAGACCAACCCUGUCCCUGCCUCAGACCCAUGUCUGCCUCAGACCCACGUGGGUCCCCUGUCAGACCAGCCCCAUGUCUGCCUCAGACUCACGCGAGACCCCCGUCCCUGCCUCAGACCCACACGGUCCCCUGUCAGACCAGCCCUGUCCCUGCCUCAGACCCACACGGUCCCCUGUCAGACCAACCCUGUCCCUGCCUCAGACCCAUGUCUGCCUCAGACCCACGUGGGUCCCCUGUCAGACCAGCCCCAUGUCUGCCUCAGACUCACGCGAGACCCCCGUCCCUGCCUCAGACCCACACGGUCCCCUGUCAGACCAGCCCUGUCCCUGCCUCAGACCCACACGGUCCCCUGUCAGACCAACCCUGUCCCUGCCUCAGACCCAUGUCUGCCUCAGACCCACGUGGGUCCCCUGUCAGACCAGCCCCAUGUCUGCCUCAGACUCACGCGAGACCCCCGUCCCUGCCUCAGACCCACACGGUCCCCUGUCAGACCAGCCCUGUCCCUGCCUCAGACCCACACGGUCCCCUGUCAGACCAACCCUGUCCCUGCCUCAGACCCAUGUCUGCCUCAGACCCACGUGGGUCCCCUGUCAGACCAGCCCCAUGUCUGCCUCAGACCCACGCGAGACCCCCGUCCCUGCCUCAGACCCACACGGUCCCCUGUCAGACCAGCCCUGUCCCUGCCUCAGACCCACACGGUCCCCUGUCAGACCAACCCUGUCCCUGCCUCAGACCCAUGUCUGCCUCAGACCCACGUGGGUCCCCUGUCAGACCAGCCCCAUGUCUGCCUCAGACCCACGUGGGACCCCCGUCCCUGCCUCAGACCCACGCGGUCCCCUGUCAGACCAGCCCUGUCCCUGCCUCAGACCCACGCGGUCCCGUCAGACCAGCCCUGUCCCUGCCUCAGACCCAUGUCUGCCUCAGACCCACAUGGGUCCCCUGUCAGACCAGCCCCAUGUCUGCCUCAGACCCACGCGGGACCCCCUCCCUGCCUCAGACCCACGCGGUCCCCUGUCAGACCAACCCUGUCCCUGCCUCAGACCCACGUCUGCCUCAGACCCAUGUGGGACCCCUCCCCUCAGCCCAGCCCCGUCCCUGCCUCAGACCCACGCGGGAUUC